This 253-nucleotide ribosomal RNA is filed under the name uncultured bacterium. RNAcentral describes it as "partial 16S ribosomal RNA". It matches the Rfam family "Bacterial small subunit ribosomal RNA", at positions 524 to 776 of the family's 1533-position model. The record is from RNAcentral.
UACGUAGGUGGCGAGCGUUGUCCGGAUUUAUUGGGCGUAAAGCGCGCGCAGGCGGUGCGGUAAGUCUGUCGUGAAAUCUCCCGGCUCAGCUGGGAGGGUGCGGUGGAGACUGCCGGACUGGAGGCACUCAGAGGCCGGUGGAAUUCCCGGUGUAGUGGUGAAAUGCGUAGAGAUCGGGAGGAACACCUGCGGCGAAGGCGGGUUGCUGGGCUGACACUGACGCUGAUGCGCGAAAGCUAGGGGAGCGAACGGG